RNAcentral lists this ribosomal RNA (99 nucleotides) under uncultured bacterium. RNAcentral's name for it is "partial 16S ribosomal RNA". It matches the Rfam family "Bacterial small subunit ribosomal RNA", at positions 392 to 508 of the family's 1533-position model. The record is from RNAcentral.
CAACGCCGCGUGGGGGAUGAAAGGCCUUCGGGUUGUAAACUCCUUUCAGUGGGAACGAAAUUGACGGUACCACAGAAGAAGCCCCGGCUAACUACGUGC